This is an RNA transcript of Fragaria vesca subsp. vesca, 879 nucleotides long. RefSeq lists it as uncharacterized. The record is from RefSeq and is a predicted model, not a curated record. The transcript has 2 exons. NCBI's taxonomy places the organism in Eukaryota, Viridiplantae, Streptophyta, Magnoliopsida, Rosales, Rosaceae.
GAUGGACAAAGCAUAUUGCUUCCCUAAUUCCCUUGCUCAUCAGUCAAUCCCUGCUCAUCUCCUCCAGUCCUCCUCCGUCGAUCGCAGGUAAUCAAUCCCAAACUUGGAUUUAAUUGCAUCUCUGGCUUGCUUCUUAUUUGUUACCCUAAUUGAUCAAUCAAGGGAGCUUUGCCGUUGUCGUUGUUUGGGGAAGAGGAGGAGGAGAGAGACAAGCAGGCGAGUCAGGAUUUGACCGGGUUGACUGAGAAUGAGGGAUUUGGGAGAAAGGAGUCGAAUUUGAAUGUGAAGAAGGGUGGGAUUGAUGAUUUGAUAUCCAAUUUGUAUGUUCAGAACGGGUCGGGUCCGAAUUCGGGUUCGGGUGGUGGUUUGAUUGGGAGGAGUAAUGGGAAUGGUGUUGAUUUGAAAUUUGAGGGUGUAGAUAUAAAUGGGAGCUCGAAUUCGAGUGGGGCAAAGUUGAAUGAGGAAGAAGGGAAUGGGGAUUUUGAUGAGGAGGAUGAUGAUGGAUGGGAAUUCAAGGCAGCAAAGCCAGAGCAAAGGGGUGGAAAUGAGAAUUCAAAGGAACAAGGGGUUGUGGAAGUAGUAGAGGUGAGAGCAGAAUCAAGUACAUUCGUUAACGGAGGAAUCCUAGUGGGUAUUGUUUAUUGUUAGAUACUUAGAUUACUUAUGAAUGUUUUCAUGCAUAUAUGCCAUUUUCCAAUUUGCUUGAAGAAUCUAGCGCCAAUUAGCUAAUGUAACAGUUCUAUAUUUUGUAAGUGUGCUGCGUGAAAAUUAGCCCAACCCAAUUUCAAUUCCUGGUUCCGUCCCUGUCUCUCUAUAUAUAUAUAGAAACCGAGAUGUGUUUGCGAAUAAUAUUAUGGAUUUACAGAACCCUUAUGUUGU